CGGGGCGUAGCGCAGCCUGGUUUAGCGCGUCUGAAUGGGGUUCAGAAGGUCGGCAGUUCGAAUCUGCCCGCCCCGA
RNAcentral lists this transfer RNA (76 nucleotides) under Dehalococcoidales bacterium. RNAcentral describes it as "tRNA-Pro". It matches the Rfam family "tRNA". From Rfam's summary of the family: Transfer RNA (tRNA) molecules are approximately 80 nucleotides in length. Their secondary structure includes four short double-helical elements and three loops (D, anti-codon, and T loops). Lineage: Bacteria; Bacillati; Chloroflexota; Dehalococcoidia; Dehalococcoidales. The record is from RNAcentral.